CGCAAGAAUUCCACAGAAUGACACUUGAGACGCAGACUGGGUUGUAACUUAGCUUUCCUUUAUUGCAAAACAAUAAGGAAAAGACACACAUCUAGAUUAGCUCUAAGAUGUGGGAAGUCCCUAAAGUUCCUAAUGUUGAGAGACGAGGGGUAAUGGAGACUACAGAGCAGCAGGCUCUUCCAAGCUGAGGUGGCAGCUUUUGCAAAUCCCUGAACGAAGAGAAAGCUUGGUCAGAUUAGGCAAUGAUUAACACCACAAAGGUACAACAAAAUGGAGCUGCCAAGGUUGACAAGACAGAAGGCCGAAGAAGUCAGCAGAAGCGGCAUCUUAAGACAAUCAUUGUCGCAGUAAUUUAGCGUGCACCUGCAUCACCUGGAGGGCUUCUUGAAACCCAGAGCCCUGGGGCCAACCCCCAGGGUUUCUGAUUUAAUGCAUCUGGGGUGGGGCAUGAGCAUUAGGCUACAAGGUUCCAGGAGAUGCUGAUGCUGUUGGUUCCCCGGACUUUGAAAAUCACUGUUUUCAGAUCUUCGUCGUCCUCAAUGCCUUGGAUAAUGGAAAGAAAUGGAAGGCUUCUGGAGGUCCAUUGGCCUAAUGUAGACACAUGACCCCAAAUCAACCACAAGAAGGCUGAAGACUAGAGGAGUCCGUGGAAUAUUUGGUACAUUCCUCCAGGAAAGGAUCCUGAGAUGUGUUUCUAAAGGCCCCGGCUGCCACCAGGAUGCUUAACCGACUGAGCCACCCAGGCGCCCCCAGUAAGUCUAAUUUUUUACUAAGAGGACGUAUGUUUUGCAGAUUUUAACAUGUUCGUAUCUAUCCUUGCCUUUGUCCUUUUUAUGACAACCCUCAACUGUGCCCAUCAUCCCACGUCUGUCUCCCCCAAGCAAAUCGGAGUGCCAGAGUUAUAAGACCAUUCUUAUAUAGUCUUCUUAUAUUCCGGGGUAUGCUGGUUGUAUUCAUUAUUUAAGGAAUUCGUUACCAAAUGUCAGUGCUUUAUUGCAAACAUA
RNAcentral lists this long non-coding RNA (1004 nucleotides) under Felis catus (domestic cat). RNAcentral's name for it is "lncRNA (ENSFCAG00000050421.1)". Lineage: Eukaryota; Metazoa; Chordata; Mammalia; Carnivora; Felidae. The record is from RNAcentral.